ACCUUAUGGUUGUGACAUUGCAUGAGUUUCCCAUUGAAUCUCUCUCACACCUCAUAUAGAGAUUCUCCAUUCAAUUGAUGAAAAUUGGUGAUUUUGUCAUGAAAUU
Molecule: non-coding RNA, 106 nt
Organism: Capsicum annuum
Lineage: Eukaryota; Viridiplantae; Streptophyta; Magnoliopsida; Solanales; Solanaceae
Source: Rfam